Molecule: long non-coding RNA, 1818 nt
Organism: Diachasmimorpha longicaudata
Lineage: Eukaryota; Metazoa; Arthropoda; Insecta; Hymenoptera; Braconidae
Exons: 7
Source: RefSeq, a predicted model, not a curated record
UCAUUUCACUGUUUCAGAUGAUCACUCUAAGGUUGAGCAAAGAGGAAACCUUCAGAAAAUUCGUCAACAAUUAAGUAUACGUACGAUUAAACGUCUUCAUCAUUAAAAUUUCGGAUUAAAAUUUUUACAAUAGUUACAGUUAAUUGUAAUUUCUAGCAACAAAUAAUAUCCACUCAAUGUUCAACACAAUUCUUCACAUGUUCCUUAUUCUCUUGGAAAAAGUAUUGACUGAAAUGGGUUAUGGUGGCAGGACAGGAAAGUGUCAUGGCAGCGCACGAACAUGUGCGCCGCCAUGACACUUUCAUAUGCCUUUCAUGAAGAUCAGCUUUGCGGCAGCGAGCGGGCAAAUUCAAAAAGAGAAGAUAAAAAUUGUUUAAAAAAUCGAAUUGAUACUUCGGGAGCAUUGAUGGCAGUAUAGUUUUCGAUACGAUACAUAAUGUAUCAUAAGUCAUACCUUAACGAUGCCGCAUUGCGUGUGGCGCCCUGCCUCCUCUGGAGUGAGGUACUACGAUGCCACUGGCGUCACUCAAACCCCCAGGUCUGAGCCUCUACUUCAGUCAAUUCUCUUUGGUCCCUAUGGUCCCUAUCAAUCUCUCGAAACAUCUUGAAGAGUUAGAACGUUAACGUUUCUCUGAAGUCGUGUUUCUAGUUUUUCAAUCACCGAUGAUGGACAUUGCGUGGGGAGAUGUAUAUUCUAAGGAACCAAAUCCACGGAACCUGCUUCGUUCCCUUUCUUUUAUCACGACACCAGACAUGACAUGCAAAGCGCCUGGAAAGUUAACUUAGUGGAAUGUAUUUUGCUCCACUGAUUCCCACCACAUCCUCAGGAAAGAUUCUACAUCCUGAGAAUGCAUUUUCUAAAUAUGUCUCAUAAUGGGGCAGGAUGGCACAGUGACUUGUGCUUGGACUCCAACAUUUGCUGGACUAUUUGAUAUCGUCGUCAUCGGCAUAUUUCAGAUAAUUUGAGAUAUUUCAGGAAAUCUGCAAUGACAGGGUAUAAUGAGAUUUUUUUUAUUCUUCACGUGCCAGAAAUCCAGAAUUUGAAGGGGUGCACUUUUCCUGGGGAAAUGACGCCAUAAAAUUCUUCAUUUCUACUUUCUUGAAUAUCUUGGUGAAAGGGGUAGAGAAGAGUUUGGAAAAUCCUCGUAUUCCAAAGCCAGGGAAAUUUCUCAUUUCAUGUCCUAGUCAGGAGUCUGGGGGCAUUGGCCCCAAACAUUGAUACGAUUAUUGAUAGAAUCGAUUUUCUGAGUUUCGAAAUAAAAUUGGGAUUGAUCUUUGAGCUCUGCUACGUCUUAAGAUAUUCACGAAAAUAGAUUCAAAAUGAAAUCUAUGAAUUUGCGAACUGACAGGAAAUUUAACAAAUUUUUUUUAUUUUUCCCAUGCCAAAACCCAAAAUUUGAAGGGGUGCCCUUUCCCUGGAGAAAUAACGCGAGGAAAUCCGUCAUUUCUACUUUUUUGGAUCUGUACAGAACUGAGAGGAGGGGGGCAGAUAAGGAUUUAUAAAAUCAUCGUAUUCGAAGGCCAACAAAAUUUCUGACUCCAUGCCCUGAUCAGACGUCUUGGGGGACAGCCCCAAAGUUUGAUAAGACUCCUUGAAAGAAUCGAUCUUCUAAAUAAAAUCGAAGAUGAAAUUGUAGCUGUACUACGUCUCAACAUACAGGAAAUACGAAAAAUUUCGGGGCAGAUUAAAAAUACCUACGAUUCCAAAAGUUUAUGGUUAUUAUUUUUAACUGCCUAUGACAUGUAUAUGUGUAGUCAAUAAAAAUAAGAAAAACAACUUUGCAUUAUAAAAUUGUAUUUUUUAUCAAUAACCACUAA